Long non-coding RNA from Humulus lupulus (European hop), 1139 nucleotides. RefSeq lists it as uncharacterized. The record is from RefSeq and is a predicted model, not a curated record. NCBI's taxonomy places the organism in Eukaryota, Viridiplantae, Streptophyta, Magnoliopsida, Rosales, Cannabaceae. The transcript is spliced from 3 exons.
AUCACAACGACCAAAAGCUCCAUCAACACAACAACCACGAGAAAGAAGACGACCACAAACUCCUCCAACACAAUUGCCCCACACUCCAUUGGAACGAUUACAAAAUAUCGUAUCUCAUUGGGCUGAUGGCGAGUGUGUCAAUCUAGGCAUAGAGUCUGAAGUUUUUGAUCAAGAUAUGUCUCAUUGUUAUAUAUUUAAGGAUGACAUACUUCAGUUUGCUCGAAAGGAGAAGAUUGGACAAGCAGUGGUCGUUAGCUACAUGAGGUUCAUUUACAGAUAUGUGGUACAACAAGGUCGCCAAAAUAAGUUUUUAUUUGUCAAUCCUAAUAUUGUAGCCACUCAAGGGAGUUCAUUUGACGAUCGUGUUCAAAAUUUGUUCAGACGAUGCAAUGACAUAAAAUCAAAAGAACAAGUUAUGCUUGUCCCUUGGAACCAUGGGUAAGUUUAAAAAGUUGUCAUUUUUCUGACUCAUAUCAAUACUUUCUUUGUUUAACAUUUGAGUUAUAAUUUUUUUUUGUUUUUCUUAUGCAGUGAACAUUGGAUGUUGCUUAUUUUGGCACCGUAUGCAUAUCAUGUUUAUUGUUGUGAUCUGGUGGAUUCAGAUCUGAAUAACCGUGAGGAGAUUGUAUCAGUGAUCGUCAGCGCUUUCAAUCUUUUUUUCUCUAUGAAUCUUCCUGAUGUCGAGAUCCCUGAUACUCUACGCAUUAAGCAACCUUAGUGUCCACACCAACCGGACAAUGUGGCAUGUGGAUACUACAUAAUGAGGAUGUUGAAGGAUUUGAUUGAACAUGCGAGUCCCGGACAUUACUUAAGAACGGUAUUAUUAAUUAAAAUUUACAAAUUAUUUUUGAAACCAUAUAUAUAAAUGUAAUCAAAUAAUUAAUUAAUAUAUUUUACUUUAUAUUUUUUGCAGCUAACAAGUAAGGCAUAUACAGAGGCACAAAUUGAUGAGUUGCGACAAGAAUGGGCGACAUAUAUGUCACCAAUAAUCCAAAGUAACCGACCUCGUUGAUAGGUUAUUUUAUUUUUUACCUCUUUCUUCAUACAUAAAUGCAAUAUUUGUUAAUUUUUAAUAUGUCUAACAAAUAUUGUAUUUGGUUUUUUUAUUUUUUUUAUUUUUUACAUCCUUCUUCAUACAC